GGAUGUGAGCUGGCUGUGACAUCUGCCCUUGCGUUGAUUGCCAAGAUUGAUCUGGCUGGUCUGGCUAGCUGGGCGGCUGUUCCCUUCCUUCUUCACUGCUCCAUGUGCAUCCCUCCAGCAGCUGUUCACCUGGUAGAAGAGGACAAACUUCUUUCUACUUGCGCUCCCCUGCCUCCCUGCUAGAACCUCCAAACAAGCUUUCAGGUGUUCCUUCUGUUAAAAACAAAAAACAACAAACAAACAAACAAACAAACAAAAAACCUUU
Molecule: small nuclear RNA, 265 nt
Filed under: Erinaceus europaeus (western European hedgehog)
Lineage: Eukaryota; Metazoa; Chordata; Mammalia; Eulipotyphla; Erinaceidae
Description: 7SK RNA
Rfam family: 7SK RNA
About the family: 7SK was discovered as an abundant small nuclear RNA in the mid-70s but a possible function has only recently been suggested.
Source: Rfam by way of RNAcentral